CCUCUGGUGGUUUAAUGGUUAGGGCUCUGUGCUCUCAGUGCAGAGGGUCCAGGUUUGAUCCCUGGUCUGGGAA
Molecule: transfer RNA, 73 nt
Organism: Ovis aries (sheep)
Lineage: Eukaryota; Metazoa; Chordata; Mammalia; Artiodactyla; Bovidae
Rfam family: tRNA
About the family: Transfer RNA (tRNA) molecules are approximately 80 nucleotides in length. Their secondary structure includes four short double-helical elements and three loops (D, anti-codon, and T loops).
Source: Rfam